Molecule: long non-coding RNA, 592 nt
Filed under: Anser brachyrhynchus (Pink-footed goose)
Lineage: Eukaryota; Metazoa; Chordata; Aves; Anseriformes; Anatidae
Description: lncRNA (ENSABRG00000009738.1)
Source: RNAcentral
CAGACCCUCCCACCCAUCACUCGUCCCAUCCCCCCAUCCUUCCCCUCCCUUGCUCUCUGUUGCAUUAAUAGCAGAGAUGGCAUUAAAGUAACUUUAUCUCCUUGGUGCACACAUACACAAACUCAAUGGCGGGUAGUGUUAUGAGGCUUAUUGCCGAGUGCGUAAUGACUGCUUCUUUUUUGGAUGAAUGAAUUCAGUGGAUGACAGGCUAAGCUAAUUACACUGGCAUGGAAGCAGAGCCCACGGGAGAGAGAUUGCCCAGCCUUUCUCCAGACGCCGUGUGAGGAAAGCCAUGCAAACCCUCCAGCUUUGCCCAUCCAGGACAGCAUGGCCUCAGGUGAGUAGGAGAGGCAGCAGGGUGCUUUCUGGUGGUGCAGACACAGGCUCUGCUGCUUCAGGUGAGCCUCAUGAAAUCCCACUUGCAGGGGAAAGUUCUGCAAAACAAGAGCUGGGGCUUGGAGAGACUGCAGCUGGCAGCCAUGGGAAUAUUUAGACCUCUGUCUUCCGUCAGGGUGAGUUUAGGCACUAGACUUGAGAAAGCAGAGAAAAGCUGACAAUGUGUACCAUGGUGCCUUGGGGUUUGGUACUGCAC